CGGCCGAUUGCAUAGCUGUUUCCUGUUCGUCCUUGACUCCCGACUUUGAUCUUGGUUCAGAUUGUACGCUGGCGGCAUGCCUUACACAUGCAAGUCGAACGGCAGCAUGGAGAGCUUGCUCUCUGAUGGCGAGUGGCGAACGGGUGAGUAAUACAUCGGAACGUGUCCGUUUGUGGGGGACAACCGUACGAAAGGAUGGCUAAUACCGCAUGAGACCUGAGGGUGAAAGCCGGGGACCGCAAGGCCCGGCGCAGACGGAGCGGCCGAUGAUUGAUUAGCUAGUUGGGGAGGUAAAGGCUCACCAAGGCGACGAUCAAUAGCUGGUCUGAGAGGACGACCAGCCACACUGGAACUGAGACACGGUCCAGACUCCUACGGGAGGCAGCAGUGGGGAAUUUUGGACAAUGGGGGCAACCCUGAUCCAGCCAUGCCGCGUGCGGGAAGAAGGCCUUCGGGUUGUAAACCGCUUUUGUCAGGGACGAAAAGCUCCGGAGUAAUAUGCCGGAGUGCUGACGGUACCUGAAGAAUAAGCGCCGGCUAACUACGUGCCAGCAGCCGCGGUAAUACGUAGGGUGCGAGCGUUAAUCGGAAUUACUGGGCGUAAAGCGUGCGCAGGCGGUUGGGUAAGACAGAUGUGAAAUCCCCGGGCUUAACCUGGGAACUGCAUUUGUGACUGUCCGACUGGAGUACGUCAGAGGGGGGGUGGAAUUCCACGUGUAGCAGUGAAAUGCGUAGAUAUGUGGAAGAACACCGAUGGCGAAGGCAGCCCCCUGGGACGCAACUGACGCUCAUGCACGAAAGCGUGGGGGAGCAAACAGGAUUAGAUACCCUGGUAGUCCACGCCCUAAACGAUGUCUGCUGGUUGUUGGGAAUUUAAUUCUCAGUAACGAAGCCAACGC
Molecule: ribosomal RNA, 899 nt
Filed under: uncultured bacterium
Lineage: Bacteria
Description: bacterial SSU rRNA
Rfam family: Bacterial small subunit ribosomal RNA
Source: RNAcentral